CCUACGGGUGACAGCAGUGAGGAAUAUUGGUCAAUGGACGAGAGUCUGAACCAGCCAAGUAGCGUGAAGGAUGACUGCCCUAUGGGUUGUAAACUUCUUUUAUAUGGGAAUAAAAUGUUCCACGUGUGGGAUUUUGUAUGUACCAUAUGAAUAAGGAUCGGCUAAAUCCGUGCCAGCAGCCGCGGUAAUACGGAGGAUCCGAGCGUUAUCCGGAUUUAUUGGGUUUAAAGGGAUCGUAGGUGGAUUGUUAAGUCAGUUGUGAAAGUUUGCGGCUCAACCGUAAAAUUGCAGUUGAAACUGGCAGUCUUGAGUACAGUAGAGGUGGGCGGAAUUCGUGGUGUAGCGGUGAAAUGCUUAGAUAGCACGAAGAACUCCGAUUGCGAAGGCAGUUCACUGGACUGCAACUGACACUGAGGCUCGAAAGUGUGGGUAUCAAACAGGAUUAGAUACCCUGGUAGUC
This 460-nucleotide ribosomal RNA is filed under the name uncultured bacterium. RNAcentral's name for it is "partial 16S ribosomal RNA". It matches the Rfam family "Bacterial small subunit ribosomal RNA", at positions 338 to 795 of the family's 1533-position model. The record is from RNAcentral.